Long non-coding RNA from Pezoporus occidentalis (night parrot), 1283 nucleotides. RefSeq lists it as uncharacterized. NCBI's taxonomy places the organism in Eukaryota, Metazoa, Chordata, Aves, Psittaciformes, Psittacidae. The transcript is spliced from 2 exons. The record is from RefSeq and is a predicted model, not a curated record.
GUCGCGGUUGUGUGCUGUGAUGUGCUAAUUAUUCUGAAGUUCAAUCAGAUGGCAUUUUGUGUUUUCAUUUCAACUGUAAAAACACAGUAUUUGUGACAUGUUGACAAGUGCGUCUUUAAUUGCUCCAUGGAUAUCUUCCAAGCUCAUGUGUUUUCCACUUACUUUGUGAAGAAAGUUGUGUAAUUAGCUCCAAGGCUACAGGGUGCGUUGCUCAUUAUUGUAUUUUCAUUUCCUCUGCAGUGAUAGAUACAGAAAGCUGACAAAUAUGAAACCCCAUCUUACAUGCUGAACCCUACCUCAACUGGAUUGCAAAGGUGGAGAGUUCUGGCUGGUUUUGCAAAUCAAGAAACUGUCUAUAUCAGAAGCAUCAAUGCCCCUCACAGAGUGAUUCAUAUUUCCUGAGAACCUGUGUGACAGGGAGAAAAGAUGAGGUGGUGGUAAAAGUCAUUGUUGUGGCCUUUUCUACUUGAUCUGGAAGAACCAGAUGUGGUUAUAACUCAAAGAGCUUUUUUUCUGCUCUCCUUCCCUGUACUGCCAUCUGAGUUGGCUUGAUUAGCUGCUCUCUGGGAUCAACCUGCCUGUCCCUCGUGACGGUAUAUCAGCAUGCUCUAUCAGAAGUAAGUUUAAAUGUACCUAUUUGAAAGGGAAACCAGUAGCUAUGCCAGUGUGAAGGUGGGUGUGGGAGCUUGCCUUCUGUUUCUUCCGUAGUGUUCAGUGAUAGAGCAUUAGGGCAAUUUUUGGUGAAGGACAAUUCUACCUCAUUAAUUCUCACUAUGUUUAGAAUUUAGAACAGCCAAAGUGUUUGAAGGUCCAGUCAAUCAAGCUGUUCUCUUGUCCAUCUUCCUGUUUAACCUUAGAGUUCCCUGCUUUUUCUUGGCUAAACCACUUAUGCUUCAAGCAAGCUGGGAAGCAAAACAAGGUCUUAUCUGAAAGGGACAAACUUUGGGCCUAAAUUGCAGUAUGCUUUUUCUGGAAAUUGAGCUGGGGGAGGAAAGAAUUUGCCAUUCAAGUUACAAAGUUAUGCAACAUCACAAUGAGCUUGCCAGCAUCCUCCAGGGAAGACUAUGCAGCCAAUGUUUAAUAUUUAUAGCCUCAAUAAAAGUACAGGGGCAAUAAUCUAAUUAAAAACAGGAAAAAAAAAAAAGAAAAGAAGAAAUUGGAUAUACUUCUCCUGUUCCAUUCUUUGCUGGUGCAUGGACCAGCUACUGUGGUAUGAGAGAUGUCCUCAUCUGAGCCUUCUGUUUUUCUUUUGAAAUGACCAUAAAGUUACUCUGUUCUCCUUU